UGGUGAGACGAUAUGUUCCCAGGAAACCUGAAGCAGAUCAAGAAGAAACUGGAGAAGAUGACAUCAUCACUCAUGUCAUGUACAGUUACAUCAAAAUAUUGAAUCAUCAACAGCGAAUCAGAUGAAGCAGAGUGAGUGAACCAGCUGAAGACGUCAGUUAUGAGCCAACAAUGAGGCCCAGACUUUAAACCAGAGCCAGACGGCAUCUACUCUUCACUGAAGUAGUCCACCAGUCCAACCACUGACGUCCAGCUGCUGGUCUCUAACUGGUCCCCCCAGCACCUCAAACCAGAGGACAUCCACAUGUUACAGAGAUAGUUGUAUUUAUUGAAAUACAUUUAGUAUUUGAAUGUGUUAUUUUCUAUAUCAGUAAUAAACAUAUUAGAUUGUUUUAUGUCCUCUAUAAUUUCGGUAUUUUUUUAUGUGUUGUUCUUGUUUUUCCUCGUGUGGUUCUUUGUGUC
Long non-coding RNA from Oreochromis aureus, 461 nucleotides. RefSeq lists it as uncharacterized. The transcript has 4 exons. The record is from RefSeq and is a predicted model, not a curated record. Lineage: Eukaryota; Metazoa; Chordata; Actinopteri; Cichliformes; Cichlidae.